RNAcentral lists this ribosomal RNA (512 nucleotides) under uncultured bacterium. RNAcentral's name for it is "bacterial SSU rRNA". It matches the Rfam family "Bacterial small subunit ribosomal RNA", at positions 8 to 526 of the family's 1533-position model. The record is from RNAcentral.
AGAGUUUGAUCAUGGCUCAGGACGAACGCUGGCGGCGCGCUUAACACAUGCAAGUCGAGCGAGAACCAGACCUUCGGGUCUGGGGACAGCGGCGAACGGGUGAGUAACACGUGGGUAAUCAACCCUCGGUACUGGGAUAGCCCGGGGAAACCCGGAUUAAUACCGGAUGGCCCUUUGGAUCUUCGGAUCUGACGGAAAAGGUAGCUUCGGCCUCCGACCGAGGACGAGCCCGCGGCGGAUUAGUUUGUUGGUGGGGUAACGGCCUACCAAGGCGGCGAUCCGUAGCUGGUCUGAGAGGACGAUCAGCCACACUGGGACUGAGACACGGCCCAGACUCCUACGGGAGGCAGCAGUGGGGAAUAUUGCACAAUGGGCGAAAGCCUGAUGCAGCGACGCCGCGUGAGGGAUGACGGCCUUCGGGUUGUAAACCUCUUUCAGCAGGGAAGAAGCGCAAGUGACGGUACCUGCAGAAGAAGCACCGGCUAACUACGUGCCAGCCGCCGCGGUAAUAC